Molecule: ribosomal RNA, 468 nt
Filed under: uncultured bacterium
Lineage: Bacteria
Description: partial 16S ribosomal RNA
Rfam family: Bacterial small subunit ribosomal RNA
Source: RNAcentral
GACGAACGCUGGCGGCGUGCUUAACACAUGCCAGUCGAACGGAAAGGCCCUGCUUUUGUGGGGCGCUCGAGUGGCGAACGGGUGAGUAACACGUGAGUAACCUGCCCUUGACUUUGGGAUAACUUCAGGAAACUGGGGCUAAUACCGGAUAGGAGCUCCUGCUGCAUGGUGGGGGUUGGAAAGUUUCGGCGGUUGGGGUUGGACUCGCGGCUUAUCAGCUUGUUGGUGGGGUAGUGGCUUACCAAGGCUUUGACGGGUAGCCGGCCUGAGAGGGUGACCGGCCACAUUGGGACUGAGAUACGGCCCAGAAUCCUACGGGAGGCAGCAGUGGGGAAUAUUGCACAAUGGGCGGAAGCCUGAUGCAGCAACGCCGCGUGCGGGAUGACGGCCUUCGGGUUGUAAACCGCUUUCGCCUGUGACGAAGCGUGAGUGACGGUAAUGGGUAAAGAAGCACCGGCUAACUACGUG